GAGUUUGAUCCUGGCUCAGGACGAACGCUGGCGGCGUGCUUAACACAUGCAAGUCGAACGCUGAAGCUUGGUGCUUGCACUGGGUGGAUGAGUGGCGAACGGGUGAGUAAUACGUGAGUAACCUGCCCUUGACUCUGGGAUAAGCCUGGGAAACUGGGUCUAAUACUGGAUAUGACCUCCUGUCGCAUGGUGGGGGGUGGAAAGGGUUUGUACUGGUUGUGGAUGGGCUCACGGCCUAUCAGCUUUUGGGGGGUAAUGGCCUACCAAGGGACGACGGGUAGCCGGCCUGAGAGGGUGACCGGCCACACUGGGAAUGAGACACGGCCCAGACUCCUACGGGAGGCAGCAGUGGGGAAUAUUGCACAAUGGGCGCAAGCCUGAUGCAGCGACGCCGCGUGAGGGAUGACGGCCUUCGGGUUGUAACCUCUUUCAGCACGGAAGAAGCGAAAGUGACGGUACGUGCAGAAGAAGCGCCGGCUAACUACGUGCCAGCAGCCGCGGUAAUACGUAGGGCGCAAGCGUUGCCCGGAAUUAUUGGGCGUAAAGAGCUCGUAGGCGGUUUGUCGCGUCUGCUGUGAAAGCCCGGGGCUUAACCCCGGGUGUGCAGUGGGUACGGGCAGACUUGAGUGCAGUAGGGGAGACUGGAACUCCUGGUGUAGCGGUGAAAUGCGCAGAUAUCAGGAAGAACACCGAUGGCGAAGGCAGGUCUCUGGGCUGUUACUGACACUGAGGAACGAAAGCAUGGGGACCGAACAGGAUUAGAUACCCUGGUAGUCCAUGCCGUAAACGUUGGGCACUAGGUGGGGGGAACAUCCCACGUUUUCCGCGCCGUAGCUAACGCAUUAAGUGCCCCGCCUGGGGAGUACGGCCGCAAGGCUAAAACUCAAAGGAAUUGACGGGGGCCCGCACAAGCGGCGGAGCAUGCGGAUUAAUUCGAUGCAACGCGAAGAACCUUACCAAGGCUUGACAUACACCGGAUCGGCUCAGAGAUGGGUUUUCCUCCUUGUGGGGCUGGUGUACAGGUGGUGCAUGGUUGUCGUCAGCUCGUGUCGUGAGAUGUUGGGUUAAGUCCCGCAACGAGCGCAAC
RNAcentral lists this ribosomal RNA (1087 nucleotides) under Kocuria sp. SO9.3. Its description in RNAcentral is "bacterial SSU rRNA". It matches the Rfam family "Bacterial small subunit ribosomal RNA", at positions 9 to 1102 of the family's 1533-position model. Lineage: Bacteria; Bacillati; Actinomycetota; Actinomycetes; Micrococcales; Micrococcaceae. The record is from RNAcentral.